UGGAAUUGCAGGCCGGUGCUACAACAACCC
This 30-nucleotide non-coding RNA is filed under the name Mus musculus (house mouse). The record is from RNAcentral. Lineage: Eukaryota; Metazoa; Chordata; Mammalia; Rodentia; Muridae.